Molecule: long non-coding RNA, 4544 nt
Filed under: Triticum aestivum (bread wheat)
Lineage: Eukaryota; Viridiplantae; Streptophyta; Magnoliopsida; Poales; Poaceae
Description: long non-coding RNA (TAES_LNC004170)
Source: RNAcentral
UAUGAGUCAGACAUCCUGGAUUAAUAAGUAAAUAAUCAGACUCUUUGGAAAACAGGAAUUACAUGCACACCCCUAAAAAAAGGAAUUACAUGCACAAUUCCCUCAAAAAAAAAGAGUUACAUGCAGAAAAAUAAACACUGGAAUUAAUGCAUGGUUUCCACGAGAACUGAUGUCAUAGUAGUUUUCUUUUCAAUGAGAUUUUUUUUGUGUUAGUCAAACUGUUGUGAUUAGUUAGCGCAUAUUAAUUAGAGGGAAAUCUCCCCUUGUCCUGCGGCAUGCAGGCGUCUUGUAGCAACCGACACAUCUCUUUUCCCCUCUCCUCUAACCGUUGCAUCGGUUCCAACCAUCGCGUCUUGUGCGAUGGGUCUCUUCCAAACAUAUAUAAGUUGUACUAUUUCUAUCAAUCAAAACAAGUUGAUCUUUUCAUUCAAACACGUUAUCACGCACGCUCUGCCGAGAGCACAGGAAGGCCUCGCCGACGGUGAGAUGCCUGGACUCAUCUCUUUCUUCCUCCGCCUCAUCCGUGAGGACGGCCGCCGUCGCCGUUUCACAGCCCGUGGCCAUUAUGGAGUAGGCGGGCGCCGUCGCCGCCGAUUCGGACGCCGUGGCGCUGGACAAGGCCACCAUGCCGCUAUACGCGGCCCUCGACGUGGCCUCCGCGCCCCUAGACACGGCCAUCGCGCCGCUGCUCCCGGUGACCACGCCCCAACGGUGGCCAGCCCCAGCGCGCCUCCCGCACAUGCAGGAGAAGAGAUCCCCGGGCCCAUGCUCGCGGCUCCAACGCGGAUUCCGCCUCCGCCUCCAGCGCCGACUGACGAGCCCGGCUUCUUCGUCUUUGUGCCGUUCCCGAACGGCGCCGGAGGGACGAUCCAAGCCGCUGGCCCGACGCCGGUCGCGCAGCCUGAAGACGUGGGCGCCGGCCCGAGUCGCAGCGCCACCGAGCACCCGCACGCCUCCACCUCCGUGCUGGACGAGGCACCGUCAUCCCCGCGCGCGGUCGCCCGACCGCGCCUCCAGGACUCCGCAAGCAUGGAGGGACGCCGCCGCCUCUUCAGUCGCGCCAUCACCGCCAUCGACCGCCGUGAAAGCAGCCACUCCGGCCUUGCCUCCGAUCUGCUGAAUGGCGUCCCUGCCGGCGUCGUCUACAUCUCCUCGUCCGAGGAAGAAGGAGGCACGUCGGCAACCACUUUGUGAGAAGCAGCAAUGGAGUGUGUGGGGGUGGCGGCGCACAGGAGUUGGUCGGGAGGAUUGGGAUCCCUCGAUCCCUAAUCACCAGCCGUAUAAAGGCCAGCCGACCGCCCCCACUCCACGUGGGCUUUGGGCCUGUGCCCAGAUAGUCCCUGGCUACGGGCUGAAUUGCAGAAAUUUCUCUUUCUUUCUUCUGUUUAAUCCUUUUAACAGUAGUUGUAGCAGUAAUUUAUCACUGUUUUAGUACUGUUUAGCCUAUGUACAUGUAGUUAUUUACAUUCUAGUCUGGUAUUUAGAUUUACUCUAUUUUAGGACUUGUGUAAAUAUUUGUAGGCUGUUUACAUUAUGUAAUGUAUUUGAUAAUGUAAAUAAAGGACCAACAUUAUCUAGAAAUGUCAUGUUCAAUGUGUUUACCACAUUCCAAUUUUCUAGAACAUGUUCCAACGAUUGAGAUUAAUUUCUCUCGUACAACAAACUUGCAAAUUUUUGAUACACGCCUUCCUCAUUAUAUUUGGAAUCACGGUCUAUAUUUUGUCCAAUUCGACAAAUGAUUACCUUGAAUGUGCAUUUCCUUAUAUUUGAAUUGAUAACAUACACACAGUAAUAGAAACAAAUGCAUCUACUGACAUUGUCAGAUUAUGUAGCAUAUUACUCUGAGAUCCAUGCGAUCUUGGACGUGUUAUGUUCAAUCAAUUGAGGUCUACAUUAUUCAAGUUCUUCACUUGAGUAUCAAAUUUUGCACCAUUAUUACAAUACAACCAUGAUGGUUUUUAAUUUACCCUAGUAAAUUAAUUAUCUCUGGUUCAUCCAUGUAGGUAAACGAUGACCGCAAAAAAAUUUGAGGAGCUUGCCCUCAAUGGCCACAACUACCCUACAUGGGCCAUGGACGUCAAGAUCAGUCUUGCUUCCCGUGGGAUAGCGCGUGCAAUCCAGGACCCGGAGACUCCUCUACCGGCCGGAACCACGCCGCUGACAGAACAACAAAACUAUGCAGCUUUAUACAUCAUAAGGCAUCAUAUUCACCCAGAUCUUAAGUCUGAAUACUUAGAGGAGGAAUCUCCCAGUACUCUGUUUCUAGCCCUCAAAACAAGAUAUGAACAGCAGAAGGCAGUUGUCCUGCCAGAAGCACUCCAUGAUUGGACUCACCUUCGUCUUCAGGAUUUCAAGUCCAUCGGUGAGUACAACCACAAGGUUCAUAAGAUAAGUUCCAAACUGCGCUUUUGCGGGAAGGAACCUACUGACGCGGAGAAGAUAGAGAAAACUUUAUCUACUAUGCUCCCUUCAGACAGGAUCCUCCAGCAGCAAUACGGUGCUCGCAACUAUAUUGUCUAUUCCGAGCUUAUUCAUAUGUUACUUCAGGCUGAAAAGCAUGAUGAGCUACUCGCUAAGAAUGGCUCUCAACGCCCAGUUGGGGCACAACCUUUACCUGAAGUUCAUAUGAAUGUCGCGAAUAGACAGAAGUUUGAUGGUGCCUUUAGAGGCAAUCAAUCAAAUGUCCAGAACAAGCGAAAGCGCAUUAGGAACAGGAGGUCUAGGAACUCAGACAAGGGAAAAGGCACUGCAAAGCCCAAGCAUGAUAAAUCUCUGCUUUGCAACAAGUGUGGAUGCUACACGCACCCCACCGACAAGUGCAAGAUCUCAAAGCAUCUGGUUAUGUUGUACCAGCAAUCUCAGAGACGCAAAGCACCUCAAGGGAAGAGGUUCGAAGCCAAUUUCAACCUUCAUUCAGACAGCACCAAUGGAGCCGGUAGUUCGCACGACGUUCCUCCUGGACCGAGCAACACCAUUGUGUUCCAUCAACCAGAGGACCUUGCCGACACGGAAAACAUGAUGAUUGAGUACACCUCAAACGAAGUGUUUGGAGACUUUGACUAGUCCCACAAUCUUCAUAGUGAUCUAUUUAGCUAUGUCCAUUUGUGAUGUUGUAAUAAGAAUAUAAGUAUUGUUGUUGUCCUUAUAUUGUAUCAGCACAUUUGAUAUAAUAAGAUUGUAAUUGUACUAACAUAUUUGAUAUAAAUAAGAUUGUAUUCUAUGUAUUUACAUGAGAUUUUCUUAUUGAAAGUUCUUUGUUUUAUAUAUAGUUCUCUACGGUGACAAUCCGAUGGAAGAGGAAUUAUGCCUUGUGGAUAGUGCAACCACAAACUCCAUACUGAGGGAGACGAAAUAUUUUCAAACUCUGAAAAAGAUGAAUGGAGAUAUUCUAACUAUCGCUGGACGCGAUACGGUAAUCGUUGGCACUGGACGUGCCAUAUUUACCCUCCCAGGUGGUACACAAGUGACAAUUGAGGAUGCUUUGUUGUAUCCCGACUCAUCACGUACCCUGAUCAGUUAUCGAGAUAUCCGUAAAAAUGGCUUUCACAUUGAAACUCAUGAAGACAACAAAGAGGAGUAUCUACUCUUCACCAAAGAUCACGGAUAUGGCAAGCAAGUACAUGAAAAAAUUCCUUCUCUAUCAUCAGGUUUGUACUAUACGUACAUCAAACCCGUAGAACAUGUUGCAUACAAAGUAAAUUUUCAAAAUGUUGAUGCAUUUCAAACCUGGCAUGAUCGCCUAGGCCAUCCCGGGAUCGGGAUGAACGUUGAUGCACAUCAGCUCGGAGAAGGGGGGAAGGGGAAGGUAGCAGCCUGGAAGAAGAAGCGGUGACAUAAAGCAUAUUUUUCUUAGUUUAAUUAUACGUCAUCUCAUCCAAAUUACCUAAUUAGCAUGAUGCAUGCUACUCCCUCCAUUCCCAAAUAUUUGUCUUUCUAGGGAUUUUAAAUGGACAUAACAUACGAAUGUAUGUAGACAUAUUUUAGAGUGUAGAUUCACUCAUUUUGCUCCGUAUGUAGUCACUUGUUGAAAUCUCUAGAAAGACAAAUAUUUGGAAACGGAGGGAGUACUUGAUAUGAUACCCAAAUAGAUGAUGCAUGCUACUUGAUAUGAUACCCCAGUAAGAGGGGUAUUAGAUGUAUAUGAGUCAGACAUCCUGGAUUAAUAAGUAAAUAAUCAGACUCUUUGGAAAACAGGAAUUACAUGCACACCCCUAAAAAAAGGAAUUACAUGCACAAUUCCCUCAAAAAAAAGGAGUUACAUGCAGAAAAAUAAACACUGGAAUUAAUGCAUGGUUUCCAUGAGAACUGAUGUCAUAGUAGUUUCCUUUUCAAUGAGAUUUUUUUUGUGUUAGUCAAACAACCAGAAGAAGGUUGGAAGCGAUCAAUUGUGUUAGUCAUCAAACAGGCCUCCAUAGUAUCUCACAGAAAGCAUUUCCAAUGACUUACCGACGAAUGCCAAAUCAUGCGCGUUGUUCCACUUCCCCCUGUACUCUUUAGGUUACAUACAAUGCCUCGGUCGGGUAGUACAUCUCUCAACUAACUAA